This 492-nucleotide ribosomal RNA is filed under the name uncultured bacterium. Its description in RNAcentral is "partial 16S ribosomal RNA". It matches the Rfam family "Bacterial small subunit ribosomal RNA", at positions 29 to 507 of the family's 1533-position model. The record is from RNAcentral.
AGUGAACGCUGGCGGUAGGCCUGACACAUGCAAGUCGAACGGCAGCACAGUAAGAGCUUGCUCUUACGGGUGGCGAGUGGCGGACGGGUGAGGAAUACAUCGGAAUCUACUUUUUCGUGGGGGAUAACGUAGGGAAACUUACGCUAAUACCGCAUACGACCUACGGGUGAAAGCAGGGGAUCUUCGGACCUUGCGCGAUUGAAUGAGCCGAUGUCGGAUUAGCUAGUUGGCGGGGUAAAGGCCCACCAAGGCGACGACCCGUAGCUGGUCUGAGAGGAUGAUCAGCCACACUGGAACUGAGACACGGUCCAGACUCCUACGGGAGGCAGCAGUGGGGAAUAUUGGACAAUGGGCGCAAGCCUGAUCCAGCCAUACCGCGUGGGUGAAGAAGGCCUUCGGGUUGUAAAGCCCUUUUGUUGGGAAAGAAAAGCAGCAGGUUAAUACCCCGCUGUUCUGACGGUACCCAAAGAAUAAGCACCGGCUAACUUCGUG